GGAGGGAUGGCCGAGUGGUUGAAGGCGGCGGUCUUGAAAACCGUUGGCGGGGAAACCCGCUCCUGGGUUCGAAUCCCAGUCCCUCCGCCA
Molecule: transfer RNA, 90 nt
Filed under: Acidobacteriota bacterium
Lineage: Bacteria; Pseudomonadati; Acidobacteriota
Description: Acidobacteria bacterium (sponge metagenome) tRNA-Ser
Rfam family: tRNA
About the family: Transfer RNA (tRNA) molecules are approximately 80 nucleotides in length.
Source: RNAcentral